AUACGGAGGGUGCAAGCGUUACUCGGAAUCACUGGGCGUAAAGCGCGCGCAGGCGGUCUUUUAAGUUGGAUGUGAAAGCCUAUGGCUCAACCGUAGAACUGCAUCCAAAACUAUUAGACUAGAGUGUGGGAGAGGAAGAUGGAAUUAGUUGUGUAGGGGUAAAAUCCGUAGAGAUAACUAGGAAUACCAAAAGCGAAGGCAAUCUUCUGGAACACUACUGACGCUGAGGCGCGAAAGCGUGGGGAGCAAACAGGAUUAGAAACCCUAGUAGUCC
This 274-nucleotide ribosomal RNA is filed under the name uncultured bacterium. RNAcentral's name for it is "partial 16S ribosomal RNA". It matches the Rfam family "Bacterial small subunit ribosomal RNA", at positions 523 to 796 of the family's 1533-position model. The record is from RNAcentral.